This 30-nucleotide non-coding RNA is filed under the name Mus musculus (house mouse). The record is from RNAcentral. Lineage: Eukaryota; Metazoa; Chordata; Mammalia; Rodentia; Muridae.
UAAUACGGAAUCUCACCCAAGCCUCACACA